This is a long non-coding RNA of Lethenteron reissneri (Far Eastern brook lamprey), 723 nucleotides long. RefSeq lists it as uncharacterized. NCBI's taxonomy places the organism in Eukaryota, Metazoa, Chordata, Hyperoartia, Petromyzontiformes, Petromyzontidae. The record is from RefSeq and is a predicted model, not a curated record.
GCUGCGGUUGACCUCACACCCCAACCACCACCCUCUCCCCUUUAUGAAUUUUGCUCCAUCCCAUUGCAGCUCCGUGAUUAUUAUUUUGUGUGUCACAUGGCCCGGGGAUUUUGUAUAAGCAGUACACAUUAGUGUUGUUAGCAAGUGCAUCAGCGCGACUCUCACGCUGCCGUGGAAUCACGUCUGGCGCGCUGGUCUGGCGAGCCAGAAUGUCGCCGGUUCGUUUCGGCCUCCCGGCGCGGCAGUUUGAGUCGGCACUGUGCACCGCAGUUCGGUGACUUGCCAGGUCGCGGCAGCUGAUGCAAUGCUGCAGGCUUCUUGAAUCUCACCCCGGGGCCUUUGCCCAGACAGGCAGUACAAAUGGGUUCAACCAAAUGUUGGAUGAUCAGCCAGUCGUGUGCGGUAGGGUAGAGCGUUGGUGAUCCCACCUCUUCCAAGCCGUCUGACCAGCGUGGGCGAGUAGGCCAAACACCCUUCACUCGAGGAAACUGUAGACAGCCCACUCGAGGCCCUUCCACCAGCAGAUGUGUGAGCAGCUGUCGCCUCAUUCGGGGCACCACCGCCCUUGCUCGCCGUCAAGUCGAGCACAUCGAAGGCGCUCGAAGUUCGCCCAAGUGCACGCCACCCUUUGUAACUUGCAUCGCAAUCUGCUCCUUCCACGACCCCCACACACGCGUGGGGUGAAGGCGCAGCCCUGGAAUUGCUCACUGACGCCACUGCCGG